This is a long non-coding RNA of Phasianus colchicus (ring-necked pheasant), 1568 nucleotides long. Lineage: Eukaryota; Metazoa; Chordata; Aves; Galliformes; Phasianidae. The record is from Ensembl.
AGGGACUGGGAUGGACUGGGAGGGACUGGGUUAUACUGGGAGGGACUGGGAUGGGACUGCGAUGGACUGGGAUGGGAGUGGGUUAUACUGGGUUAUACUGGGAUGGGACUGGGAUGGACUGGGAUGAGACUGGGAGGGACUGGGAGAGACUGGGAUGGAAGUGGGUUAUACUGGGAUGGGACUGGGCUAUACUGGGAUGGACUGGGAGGAACUGGGAUGGGACUGAGAUGGGACUGGGUUAUACUGGGAAGGACUGGGAGGGACUGGGUUGUACUGGGAUUGACUGGGAUGGGACUGGGAGGAACUGGGAGGGGCUGGGAGGAGCUGGGAUGGGAGUUGGAAGACUGGGUUAUACUGGGAUGGGACUGGGAUGGGAGUGGGUUAUACUGGGAGGGACUGGGUUAUACUGGGGCAGACUGGGAGGGACUGGGAGGGAAUGGGAGGGACUGGGUUAUACUGGGAGGGACUGGGAUGGACUGGGAUGGGAGUGGGUUAUACUGGGUUAUACUGGGAUGGGACUGGGAUGGACUGGGAGGGAUUGGGUAUACUGGGAUGGACUGGGAUGGACUGGGAGGGAUUGGGUUAUACUGGGAGGGACUGGGAUGGACUGGAUGGGACUGGGAGGGACUGGGAUGGAAAUGGGUUAUACUGGGAUGGGACUGGGAGGGACUGGGUUAUACUGGGAGGGACUGGGAUGGGAGUGGGAGGAACUGGGUUAUACUGGGAGGGACUGGGAUACUGGUCCAUACUGGUCGAUACUGGUCGAUACUGGUCUAUACUGGUCGAAACAGCGGUCAAUACUGGUCCAUGCUGGUCUAUACUGGUUGAUACUGGUCUAUACUGGUCCAUACUGGUCAAUACUGGUCUAUACUGGUUGAUACUGGUCCAUCCUGGUCUAUACUGGUCUAUACUGGUCCAUACUGGUCGAUACUGGUCCAUACUGGUCCAUACUGGUUGAUACUGGUCUAUACUGGUCUAUACUGGUCUAUACUGGUCGAUACUGGUCCAUACUGGUCGAUACUGGUCUAUACUGGUCGAUACUGGUCCAUACUGGUCCAUCCUGGUCCCAUCCUGGUCUUUAUUACUGCAGGUUCUGCCCAGCCCGCGCCGCCGUCCAAUCAGCGCCCUCUGCUGGGAUCCCGACGGGACGCGAUUGGUCGCCGCCCAAGUGGGCGGGGCUUUGCUGGUGUGGGCGUGGCCGGAAGAAGAGCCGCUGUGGGCGGGGUCCGCGGAAGCCCCGCCCCUUCCGGCAAUGGCUCCGCCCCUCGUCUUGGGUUACCCGGGAGGUCACGUGACCUCGGUGUCCUUUGCCCCGCCCACUGCAGUGGGGGAGGGGCCGACAGUCGUCACUUCCGGUCCCGGGGGAAAGGUGAGGGGCGGGGCUUCAUGAGACGGGGGCUGCGAUUGGUGGGAGGGGAAAAGGGGCGGGGCUUAAAGGGGGUUGCGAUUGGUGGGAUGCUGAGGGGGCGGGGCUUCAAAGGGAGGAGGGUUUUAUUGGUGGGAGGUGAAGGGGGUGGGGCUUAAAUGGGGGCGGGGCUUAAAUGGGGGGCGUGGCUUAUUGGGAGCGG